UAAAUUAUUAAAAAUAAUUAUUAUAAGAUUUGUUUGAGUAUUUUAUAAAGAAAAAAUAAUUUUAAUUAUAGUUAAAUAGUAUUGUGAAAGAAAAUUGAAAUAAUUUGAAAAAUUAAUAUUUUAAAAGAAAAUUUAAUUUAUUGUACCUUGUGUAUCAGGGUUUAUCAAAUAAAAAUUAUUUAGUAUAAUUUUCUCGAUUUUAAAAGAGUUAAUAUAUUAUGAAAGUUAAUGUGACAAAAUUAUUUUGUAUAAUAUAUUAGAAAUGAAAUGUUAUUCGUUUUUAAAGGUAUCUAGUUCUUUAAGAAAUAAAUUUAAUUUAGAAAUUUUAUAUUAUUUAAUUAAGUGUAUUAAUUAAAUAAUUGUUUUAUUUUAAUAUUUUGUGGGAUAAGCUAUGAAAUAAAUUAUUAAAAAUUAUUGAAUAAUUUAAUAAAUAUAAGCUUAGAAAUAGCUAUUAUUAGUAAAAGUGUUAUAAUUUAUUUUAUAAUAUUGAUUAUUUAUUAAAUUUUAAUUAUGUAUUAAAGUAUUUAUUUUAAUUAUAAAAAUAAAAAAAUAAUGAUAAAAUUAGUAUAUUAUGAUGUAUAAAUAUAAUUGAUUGAUAAGUUUUUAUAAAGAACUCGGCAAAAAUAAUGUUCGCCUGUUUAACAAAAACAUGUCUUUUUGAAUUUUUUUUAAAGUCUAACCUGCCCACUGAUAAUUUAAAUGGCCGCAGUAUACUAACUGUGCAAAGGUAGCAUAAUCAUUAGUCUUUUAAUUGAAGGCUGGUAUGAAUGGUUGGACGAGAUAUUAACUGUUUCAUGAAAAUUUAUAAUAGAAUUUUAUUUUUUAGUCAAAAAGCUAAAAUAAAAUUAAAAGACGAGAAGACCCUAUAAAUCUUUAUACAUAGAUUAUUAGAAUUUUGUAGAUUUUUUUUAUUAUAAUAAUUAAUUGUAUUUUAUUGGGGUGAUAUUAAAAUUUAAUAAACUUUUAAUUUUAAAAAAUCAUUAAUUUAUGAAUAAUUGAUCCGUUAAUAACGAUUAAAAAAAUAAGUUACUUUAGGGAUAACAGCGUAAUUUUUUUGGAGAGUUCAUAUCGAUAAAAAAGAUUGCGACCUCGAUGUUGGAUUAAGAUAUAAUUUUAGGUGUAGCCGCUUAAAUUUUAAGUCUGUUCGACUUUUAAAUUCUUACAUGAUCUGAGUUCAAACCGGCGUAAGCCAGGUUGGUUUCUAUCUUUAAUAAAUUAAAAUAUUUCAGUACGAAAGGACCUAAUAUUUAAUAAAUUAUUAUUUUUAUAUUGAAUAUAAAUAAUUUAA
This 1288-nucleotide ribosomal RNA is filed under the name Sarcophaga ruficornis. Its description in RNAcentral is "16S ribosomal RNA". The stretch from base 1037 to 1196 matches the Rfam family "Archaeal large subunit ribosomal RNA", at positions 2542 to 2701 of the family's 2987-position model. Lineage: Eukaryota; Metazoa; Arthropoda; Insecta; Diptera; Sarcophagidae. The record is from RNAcentral.